Long non-coding RNA from Astatotilapia calliptera (eastern happy), 1365 nucleotides. Lineage: Eukaryota; Metazoa; Chordata; Actinopteri; Cichliformes; Cichlidae. The record is from Ensembl.
GUUUUUUCUCCUUUUUUGUAACUUCACUUGGUUAUUUUUAUUGUAAAUGAGUAAAAAAAAAAUCUUAAUUUAAGAGAACGUAUGUGAUAUUUAUUUCAUUAAUUUUGUUUCCUUGUUUACGUUUAUUAAAAGUUUGCGUGAUUGCUGUUUGCUCCUGAGGUUGUGUGUCAGAGCUGUAGAAGGCUUUCUUUUUUUUUUUUUUUAAUUUCUUUUUUGAGGAUCCUUAUUUAGAUGUGUCUGUAGAAUGUAUAAACAAUGGUUUGUCAUAGACCGUCCAAACCUUCGUUCCUCUUUUCGUUGAUCUAGAUCAGACUUCAGUGACAAAGAAUCCGAGUCAAUAAAUUAACCAAAAAGUAUUUUUUUUUUUUUCCUUUUUCAUUUUCUGUUUGCACGAGGUCACACUGUGAUUCCAGCCACGUGCUAAAGAAUGUAGCAAUCCCUUGUGCCCCAGUAUUAUUGUGUAGUGCCUAUGGGGUUCAUAAUCUUGACAUGCCUUAAAAUUAACCAAAUAAAGUAUUUUUCCUACAUUGCAUCUUUUUAUAAAUCCAGAUGGAACUGAAUGUAGUGUUGGAUUUUUGUUUUUUCUAGAGGGAAGUUGGAUGGACACAUUUGGAUUGUACAUAGUAGGUACAGGGGGAUGCGCACUAUGUACUUUUGACUACUUUAUCAGAAGUAAAGCUUUUUGAAUGUAACACACAGAAAAAAAAAAAUGGAGAAAAAAAAAGACGGACAAAAAGACAACCGAGAGUUGUGUUCUUUUCUUUGGGGGGGGGUCAGUUCACUACAAAUUGAGUGUGAGACUGUUAACUUUGUACUGUACAUUUUUUUGUAGUUCUCCCAAUAAAAAAAAAAAAAAAAAACAUCUUUUGAAAAAGUUUCAGACUCUGACUUCUUGUAAAUGUAUGAUGAUGUCACACACGGUCAAAGCGCUGACCAGCUAGUUUUACCCCAGUGCUGCUGAGAUGCCCCCCCCUUUCUCCGGAUGUGUAAAUGCUCUCUGCAACGGUUGUUAAAGUUCACUGCAAACAUGGAAAAGGGGUACAGAACAAACUGGAGAUGGUGUUGCGUAAUGAAUUUUCAAAAUGAAAAACUUAAGAGGCACUGGGCCGUGGGAGGAUACGAUUUCAAUCUUUAUUAUGUCGAUAUACGUGAUAUAGACUGGCACUCUCAACCCUCAGACUGCAGAAGAAGUGCCACACAAAGUUAAAGCACGAUAUCCUGCUCACUUCCAGCUCCUUGUUUUUAAUCUGGGACUAGCUUUCUUGCUUCAUACUGGCUUUGGGCCGAGGCUCUAAUCGCCGACUAUCUGCCAACGAGCUGUUUCCCCCAGUUCUUUAAGCCAGCUUUAUCCUGAUUGGCUGCCCU